GCCAGCAUGCAAAAAAGAAAUCAGCAUGCAAAAAAGAUAGGAUGGGGGGAAAAAAAGCAUCCGACACAUCAGGGCAAGGCUGGAACAAACCCAGCACCCAUUUUAAAAAAGCCAGCAAAAAAGCCUGCAUGCAAAAAAAAAAUCAGCAUGCAAAAAAAGCCAGGAUGCAAAAACAACAAAAAAAAAGUCAGCAUGCAAAUAAUAAUAAUAAAAAUAAAUAAGCAUCCCAAAAAAAAGGGCAGGAUGCAAAAGCUGCGUGGGGCCCGUCAGGACAAAGGGGGCACUGUCAAGCAGCCCCACCAAAGAGCAGCCAAGACAGGCACAUACAGAGUGCCGAAAAAGGAUCGGAGAGCCUCAGGAUGCCCCGGCAGGUCCACACCCAAAACCACCUCAGAGUGACGGACCUGUCAAAGGAGGCUCUCCCGCUUCUGCCCUGGGACACAAGCGUCAGCCUGUCCCAGGUCCUGCAAAAGCAGAAGAACAGGUACCAGGAGCUGUGGGGUCCAUCCCUCCCCAAACAGCGAUUGGCGGGCUCCUGGAUAGAGCCUCCCAGCACCUCAACUCUGGGAGAAGACAUGGCCUGGCCCAGAUUCAAAAUAAUUUUUAAAAAAAGCCAGGAUAGAAAAAAAGCAUGCUUCAGGGUAAGGCCUGGGACCCCCCUCAGCCAAAAGCCAGCAUUCAUUAAAAACAAAAGCUGGCAAAAAGGCAGCAUGCAAAAUAAGAAAAAAUCCAGCACA
Long non-coding RNA from Anguilla anguilla (European eel), 737 nucleotides. RefSeq lists it as uncharacterized. The transcript has 3 exons. The record is from RefSeq and is a predicted model, not a curated record. NCBI's taxonomy places the organism in Eukaryota, Metazoa, Chordata, Actinopteri, Anguilliformes, Anguillidae.